UCCGAGCCGAUUGUGGUGAAGUGGAUGAUCCUGUGCUGCGGAGAAAAGCCUCUAGUGAGUGUUGUGGCGGCCCGUACCCUAAACCGACUCAGGUGGUCAGGUAGAGAAUACCAAGGCGAUCGGGUGAACUGUGGUUAGGAACUCGGCAAAUUGCCCCCGUAACUUCGGGAGAAGGGGGACCUCUGCUGGUGAUGGGCUUUACGUUCUGAGCUGGUGGGGGUCGCAGUGGCCAGGGGGAAGCGACUGUUUACUAAAAACACAGGUCCGUGCGAAGUCGUAAGACGAUGUAUACGGACUGACGCCUGCCCGGUGCCGGAACGUUAAGGGGACCGCUUAGCCAGCUUCGGUUGGCGAAGGUGAGAACUUAAGCGCCGGUAAACGGCGGUGGUAACUAUAACCAUCCUAAGGUAGCGAAAUUCCUUGUCGGGUAAGUUCCGACCUGCACGAAUGGCGUAACGACUUCCCCGCUGUCUCAACCACAGACCCGGCGAAAUUGCACUACGAGUAAAGAUGCUCGUUUCGCGCAGCAGGACGGAAAGACCCCGGGACCUUCACUACAGCUUGACAUUGGCGUUUGGAACGUCUUGUGUAGGAUAGGUGGGAGACUAGGAAGCUGUCACGCUAGUGAUGGUGGAGUCAUUGGUGAAAUACCACUCUGGUCGUUUUGAACGUCUAACUCUGGUCCGUGAUCCGGAUCGGGGACAGUGUCUGGUGGGUAGUUUAACUGGGGCGGUUGCCUCCUAAAGAGUAACGGAGGCGCCCAAAGGUUCCCUCAGCCUGGUUGGCAAUCAGGUGUUGAGUGUAAGUGCACAAGGGAGCUUGACUGUGAGACUGACAGGUCGAGCAGGAGCGAAAGCUGGGACUAGUGAUCCGGCGUCGGCGUGUGGAAGCGGUGUCGCUCAACGGCUAAAAGGUACCCCGGGGAUAACAGGCUGAUCUUCCCCAAGAGUCCAUAUCGACGGGAUGGUUUGGCACCUCGAUGUCGGCUCGUCGCAUCCUGGGGCUGGAGUAGGUCCCAAGGGUUGGGCUGUUCGCCCAUUAAAGCGGUACGCGAGCUGGGUUUAGAACGUCGCGAGACAGUUCGGUCCCUAUCCGCUGCGCGCGCAGGAGACUUGAAGGGGGCUGUCCCUAGUACGAGAGGACCGGGACGGACGAACCUCUGGUGUGCCAGUUGUACCGCCAGGUGCACGGCUGGUUGGCUACGUUCGGAAGGGAUAACCGCUGAAAGCACCUAAGCGGGAAGCUCGCCUUGAGAUGAGGUCUCCCACCCCGUGAGGGGGUAAGGCUCCCGGUAGAUCACCGGGUUGAUAGGCCGGAGGUGGAAGCACGGUAACGUGUGGAGCUGACCGGUACUAAUAGGCCGAGGACUUGACC
RNAcentral lists this ribosomal RNA (1374 nucleotides) under metagenome. RNAcentral describes it as "bacterial LSU rRNA". It matches the Rfam family "Bacterial large subunit ribosomal RNA", at positions 1568 to 2925 of the family's 2925-position model. The record is from RNAcentral.